UGCAAGUCGAACGGUAACAGGCCUUCGGGCGCUGACGAGUGGCGGACGGGUGAGUAACGCGUAGGAAUCUGCCUAUAGUGGGGACAACGUGGGAAACCCACGCUAAUACCGCAUACGCCUACGGGGGAAAGAGGGGGAUCUUCGGACCUUUCGCUAUGAGAUGAGCCUGCGUUAGAUUAGCUAGUUGGUAGGUAAAGGCCUACCAAGGCGAUGAUCUAUAGCUGGUCUGAGAGGACGAUCAGCCACACUGGGACUGAGACACGGCCCAGACUCC
Molecule: ribosomal RNA, 274 nt
Filed under: unidentified marine bacterioplankton
Lineage: Bacteria
Description: partial 16S ribosomal RNA
Rfam family: Bacterial small subunit ribosomal RNA
Source: RNAcentral